UACAGAGGGGGCAAGCGUUGUCCGGAGUUACUGGGCGUAAAGCGCACGCAGGCGGCAAUGCACGUGUGGUGUGAAAGCGGUCGGCUUAACCGACCGAGGCCAUCGCAUACGGCAUCGCUCGAGCGCAGCAGAGGCAUCUCGAAUUGCCGGUGUAGUGGUGAAAUGCGUAGAGAUCGGCAGGAAGACCAAGGGGGAACCCAGGAUGCUGGGCUGUGGCUGACGCUCAGGUGCGAAAGCGUGGGGAGCCAACCGG
Molecule: ribosomal RNA, 253 nt
Filed under: uncultured bacterium
Lineage: Bacteria
Description: partial 16S ribosomal RNA
Rfam family: Bacterial small subunit ribosomal RNA
Source: RNAcentral